Molecule: ribosomal RNA, 1343 nt
Filed under: Leuconostoc citreum
Lineage: Bacteria; Bacillati; Bacillota; Bacilli; Lactobacillales; Lactobacillaceae
Description: bacterial SSU rRNA
Rfam family: Bacterial small subunit ribosomal RNA
Source: RNAcentral
UCAAGCGAGUGGCGAACGGGUGAGUAACACGUGGAUAACCUGCCUCAAGGCUGGGGAUAACAUUUGGAAACAGAUGCUAAUACCGAAUAAAACUUAGUAUCGCAUGAUAUCAAGUUAAAAGGCGCUACGGCGUCACCUAGAGAUGGAUCCGCGGUGCAUUAGUUAGUUGGUGGGGUAAAGGCUUACCAAGACAAUGAUGCAUAGCCGAGUUGAGAGACUGAUCGGCCACAUUGGGACUGAGACACGGCCCAAACUCCUACGGGAGGCUGCAGUAGGGAAUCUUCCACAAUGGGCGCAAGCCUGAUGGAGCAACGCCGCGUGUGUGAUGAAGGCUUUCGGGUCGUAAAGCACUGUUGUAUGGGAAGAAAUGCUAAAAUAGGGAAUGAUUUUAGUUUGACGGUACCAUACCAGAAAGGGACGGCUAAAUACGUGCCAGCAGCCGCGGUAAUACGUAUGUCCCGAGCGUUAUCCGGAUUUAUUGGGCGUAAAGCGAGCGCAGACGGUUGAUUAAGUCUGAUGUGAAAGCCCGGAGCUCAACUCCGGAAUGGCAUUGGAAACUGGUUAACUUGAGUGUUGUAGAGGUAAGUGGAACUCCAUGUGUAGCGGUGGAAUGCGUAGAUAUAUGGAAGAACACCAGUGGCGAAGGCGGCUUACUGGACAACAACUGACGUUGAGGCUCGAAAGUGUGGGUAGCAAACAGGAUUAGAUACCCUGGUAGUCCACACCGUAAACGAUGAAUACUAGGUGUUAGGAGGUUUCCGCCUCUUAGUGCCGAAGCUAACGCAUUAAGUAUUCCGCCUGGGGAGUACGACCGCAAGGUUGAAACUCAAAGGAAUUGACGGGGACCCGCACAAGCGGUGGAGCAUGUGGUUUAAUUCGAAGCAACGCGAAGAACCUUACCAGGUCUUGACAUCCUUUGAAGCUUUUAGAGAUAGAAGUGUUCUCUUCGGAGACAAAGUGACAGGUGGUGCAUGGUCGUCGUCAGCUCGUGUCGUGAGAUGUUGGGUUAAGUCCCGCAACGAGCGCAACCCUUAUUGUUAGUUGCCAGCAUUCAGUUGGGCACUCUAGCGAGACUGCCGGUGACAAACCGGAGGAAGGCGGGGACGACGUCAGAUCAUCAUGCCCCUUAUGACCUGGGCUACACACGUGCUACAAUGGCGUAUACAACGAGUUGCCAACCUGCGAAGGUGAGCUAAUCUCUUAAAGUACGUCUCAGUUCGGACUGCAGUCUGCAACUCGACUGCACGAAGUCGGAAUCGCUAGUAAUCGCGGAUCAGCACGCCGCGGUGAAUACGUUCCCGGGUCUUGUACACACCGCCCGUCACACCAUGGGAGUUUGUAAU